GGCAAAGACACAGAGAGUGCACCCAGAACACAUACCCCCAGGAGACCUGCAGGGGCCAGGGCUGCCUGACAGACCCCUCCACGCCCCAUGUCCACAGGGUGAUGCCUCAUCACAACCGUAAAGGAAUGUCAAGAGGACAGAAUUCUGAGAACUUGGGGAGGAGGUGCCUCGAUUUUUCUGGAAGAAGGUGGCAGAAAGAGCAAAUCAAGCUAAGAGGGCCUGCUAGCUGGUAAGUAGCUCUGCAAAGAAUGGAGAAAGAAGGGCCCCACAGUCAAAGAUGCCCAGGAUAAUUCCUAUAGGACCUGCUUCAUUUCCCAGGCAAGGUGUGUCAUCAGCUUAUAUGCAAAUGAGGUCUUAACAAAUUAUUUUUAAAGUCAUUGGAAAAAAAUGCUUAGCUCGCCCAAUUUUGGUGGGUUCAGGACUUAUGUUCCAACAAUGCUUAUUACCCUGUAAAUCUGGACAUAAAACCAGCUCCAGUCAGGGUUUGAAUCAGCAUGAAUUCUAGGUCAGUGUAGGUCCAAAGAAGAGGUUUGUGCAGCCGGGGCUGAGGACACAGCAGCCUUAUCGCUAACUGUGGUUCUGGCCAGGGCUCUGCACAAGGCAGGAGCAGCAAGCUAGUUACACAGGGCCAGUGCCCUCAACCUGCUCUCCUGUUUUUCCUGUCCUUCUCCCUUCUACCAGGUGGCUCUUUCCUGCUCAGGACAGUGCUCUUGGACAGACCCUCCAGUGGGCACUUAAGAGUCCUAGGAAACUGAAGCCCAGAGAUGCCAAAUGAUUGAGGUCCGAGGUCAUCCAGCAUCAGAGCCAGGAUUACACAAUCACUUAAAAUGCAGCUCAACUGUGAAAGUGAGGAGGGAGAAUAUAAGUGUGAGUUCAUGACCCGCCAUCCUCAGGGGAAGCCUGCAUCAUGUCACCCCCGCCAGGUGACGCACGUGCACAUGCCUCUGAUCUAUCUACCCUGCCAGCUACAGAAAUCAAGACAAAGCCUGGAAUCUACCAACCUACCAGCAUCUCCAGCAGGAAGGGUGGAGCCUCCCUGCCCAGUCCACACCCCCAUAAGAAGAACCAGGGGUAGAAGAGAAUAGGGGGAGUUGAGGCGACCAGGCACGGCGUGGGUCCUCUGCCUCAGGAGCGCCCACAGGGAAGGCUCAAGUCAUACCAUCCUCGUGUCCCAGGUGCACUCCCAUUGCAAAACCCAAACCGCUGUUCAUCUGCCUCUGCCAGCCCAGGGGGGAAAGGGAAAGGGGAGAGAGAUACAGAGGGUACCGCAAGGCCACUCCCUGCAACAUGCCUGAAGCCUCAGGG
RNAcentral lists this long non-coding RNA (1305 nucleotides) under Homo sapiens (human). Its description in RNAcentral is "HSALNT0389802". The record is from RNAcentral. Lineage: Eukaryota; Metazoa; Chordata; Mammalia; Primates; Hominidae.